UAUGCCAUCGGAGGCGGGCUUAAUCUUUGGCUAAAUAGUGAACACAAUUCAAGCCUAUGUAGCCAAAGUUUGGGUCCGUCUCUAUGGCUAC
Molecule: microRNA precursor, 91 nt
Filed under: Capitella teleta
Lineage: Eukaryota; Metazoa; Annelida; Polychaeta; Capitellidae
Description: microRNA cte-mir-1999 precursor
Source: miRBase by way of RNAcentral